RNAcentral lists this ribosomal RNA (577 nucleotides) under uncultured bacterium. Its description in RNAcentral is "bacterial SSU rRNA". It matches the Rfam family "Bacterial small subunit ribosomal RNA", at positions 1 to 553 of the family's 1533-position model. The record is from RNAcentral.
UCACUAGUACGGCGCAGUGUGCUGGAAUCGCCCUUAGAGUUUGAUCCUGGCUCAGGAUGAACGCUGGCGGCGUGCCUAAUACAUGCAAGUCGAACGAAGGUACUUGUACCUAUAGUGGCGAACGGGUGAGUAACACGUAGGUAACCUGCCCUCAAGACGAGGAUAACCAUUGGAAACGAUGGCUAAUACUGGAUAGUUAUUAUAGAGGCAUCUCUGUAAUAUUAAAGGACCACUGGUAUACUUGAGGAUGGACCUGCGGCGCAUUAGUUAGUUGGUGAGGUAACGGCUCACCAGGACAAUGAUGCGUAGCCGGACUGAGAGGUUGAUCGGCCACAUUGGGACUGAGACACGGCCCAAACUCCUACGGGAGGCAGCAGUAGGGAAUUUUCGGCAAUGGAGGAAACUCUGACCGAGCAACGCCGCGUGAAUGAAGACAUAUUUCGGGAUGUAAAGUUCUUUUAUCAGGGAAGAAUGACCCGUGGAAGAACGGGUGUGACGGUACCUGAUGAAUAAGCCCCGGCUAACUAUGUGCCAGCAGCCGCGGUAAUACAUAGGGGGCAAGCGUUAUCCGGAAUUA